GCCGAUAGGACAUUUCAAACCCUUUGUAGUUGCAAUCAGCGUCAGAAAAAAACUAUAAUAGUUACAACUUUCAACAACGGAUCUCUUGGUUCUGGCAUCGAUGAAGAACGCAGCGAAAUGCGAAAAGUAGUGUGAAUUGCAGAAUUCAGUGAAUCAUCGAAUCUUUGAACGCACAUUGCGCCCCUUGGUAUUCCAUGGGGCAUGCCUGUUCGAGCGUCAUUUGUACCCUCAAGCUCAGUCUUGGUGUUGGGUGUUUGUCCUGCCCUCGUGGCGGACUCGCCUUAAAGUGAUUGGCAGCCGGAAUAAAUCUGGGGAACGCAGCACAACUGCAGCCUCUAGUCUUAUACGCCGAGCGUCCAACAAGCCUUUUAUUCUUGCGUUUGACCUCGGAUCAGGUAGGGAUACCCGCUGAACUUAAGCAUAUCAAUA
This 429-nucleotide ribosomal RNA is filed under the name Pleosporales sp. osu_besc_10957a. RNAcentral describes it as "eukaryotic LSU rRNA". The stretch from base 66 to 219 matches the Rfam family "5.8S ribosomal RNA". Lineage: Eukaryota; Fungi; Ascomycota; Dothideomycetes; Pleosporales. The record is from RNAcentral.